GAUCCUGGCUCAGGAUGAACGCUAGCUACAGGCUUAACACAUGCAAGUCGAGGGGCAGCAUUUCAGUUUGCUUGCAAACUGGAGAUGGCGACCGGCGCACGGGUGAGUAACACGUAUCCAACCUGCCGAUAACUCGGGGAUAGCCUUUCGAAAGAAAGAUUAAUACCCGAUGGCAUAAUUAGACCGCACGGUCUUAUUAUUAAAGAAUUUCGGUUAUCGAUGGGGAUGCGUUCCAUUAGGCAG
This 243-nucleotide ribosomal RNA is filed under the name uncultured bacterium. RNAcentral describes it as "partial 16S ribosomal RNA". It matches the Rfam family "Bacterial small subunit ribosomal RNA", at positions 15 to 248 of the family's 1533-position model. The record is from RNAcentral.